ACACAGCUCUCAGAGCCACAAGGCUCACCCAAAACCAACCCAGCUCCUCUCCAGUGCGAAAGUAGUGGCCGACGCGGCCAAGUCUGCGCUCCACCACGAGACCGACAAGAUCGACAAGGCCAAGGUCGCCGGCGCCGCCGGCGACAUCCUCGGCGCGGCUUCUCACUACGCGAAGCUCGAGGAAGGGAAGCUGGGGAAGUACGUCGGGCAAGCGGAGAAUUACCUCCACCAGUACCACUCAUCCCAUUCCGCCCACUCCUCCACCACCUCCGCGGCCGCCCAUUCUUCGUCGACCCACUCCACCGGCGAGGCUCAUCACGGCGGCGGCGGCGGCGGCCUGGAGGACUACAUGAAGAUGGCGCAAGGCUUCUUGAAGAAGCGUUGACUUCUCAUCGUGUACUUUCUUGGAACGUGAAGAAGCUUUUCUUCUUGGACUGGCGUGGAU
This 445-nucleotide long non-coding RNA is filed under the name Musa acuminata (dwarf banana). RNAcentral describes it as "long non-coding RNA (MACU_LNC004239)". Lineage: Eukaryota; Viridiplantae; Streptophyta; Magnoliopsida; Zingiberales; Musaceae. The record is from RNAcentral.